UAGCCAACCAAGUAUUAAAGGCGACGCCUGCCCAGUGAAAAUUAAACGGCCGCGGUAUCCUAACCGUGCAAAGGUAGCAUAAUCAUUUGUCUAUUAAUUGUAGACCUGUAUGAAAGGCAAAAUGAGGGCCCAACUGUCUCUUAUAACAAAUCAAUUAAACUGAUCUCCUAGUACAAAAGCUAGAAUACUAACAUAAGACCAGAAGACCCUGUGAAGCUUUAACUAACCUAUUAAACCCAAUAAUAACUACUUUUGGUUGGGGCGACCUUGGAAUAAAAAAGAACUUCCAACCUAUGACUUCCUCAUAAAACAAGGCAAACAAGCCAAUACUAGACCCAGCACAGCUGACAAUUGAAACAAGUUACUCCAGGGAUAACAGCGCUAUCUUCUUUAAGAGCCCAUAUCAAAAAGAAGGUUUACGACCUCGAUGUUGGAUCAGGACACCCCAGUAAUGCAACCGUUACUAAAGGUUCGUUUGUUCAACGAUUAAUAGUCCUACGUGAUCUGAGUUCAGACCGGAGCAAUCCAG
RNAcentral lists this ribosomal RNA (529 nucleotides) under Bothrops alternatus (urutu). RNAcentral describes it as "partial 16S large subunit ribosomal RNA". It matches the Rfam family "Bacterial large subunit ribosomal RNA", at positions 1832 to 2629 of the family's 2925-position model. The record is from RNAcentral. Lineage: Eukaryota; Metazoa; Chordata; Lepidosauria; Squamata; Viperidae.